ACACAGCGACGCUCCCCGGAUGUCUUUUUUCGCUUUUAGGCUGGCAGACGAUCCCAAAAGUUUCUGAUGAAAUCUCACUCUCGACGGACGGCAACGACUCUUUCGGUGAAACUUUGCUCUAGAAGGCUUCUCCAGUCAGUAUUCUGUCAGAAAGAACUGUAUUGUUUUGUAGACGACACAAAAACUAACACCUAGUCUUGUGGUGUGGGAUUUUUUUUUUUUUUUUAGUAAAUCGCCGUUGCUCGGGGGCCCGGCCGUUGCCUCGCUGCUAACCUGCUAACGUGCAACGCAGGACAGCUAGCUGCCCGCUUUCUGGAAGAAAAAGUACAUCACAAUGGCUCGAUUUUUGUCGUCAAAGUUAAGUGUGCUCCGUCUAUCUACGCUGUCCAGCUCCCCCAACGUCUUCUCCAAGUUGUCGGCUAGAAAGAAGUCCAAUCACCGCUCACAGCGAACCGCGGCGGAGCUCGGCUGGGAAAGCGACGACAUUUCUUGGGUUCCUCUCUGUUCCGAUGGCCGUUGUGCUGUCCAGUCAGUGUAAGGACAAUGUCUCCGUGGACAGUCUAGACUUUAUUUUUCCUCUCAAGAAGACGUUUUGGUGCUGCUGCAGCCUGCUUUCGAAUGACAGCUGUCGCAUUAGCCGCUAACCUGCUAUAGCUCACGUUUUCUUGAAACCGACGGAAGUUCCGUGUUGUAUGUGGAGAUCAUCUCAGUUUGGCACCUUGUAGUUUGUAGAAGAUGUUUGGAAACAGGGCUAACGAGGGACAGUUACCGUGCGGGCAGAGCUUGUCCUCUCCUGCCGGCCUCAGCGUGGCCUCCGCCGGCCUCGAGAGUCAGGAAAGUCCGUGGAUCGGCCUGCUUUCCGUGCUGUCCAGGCCCGCGCUAUCAUUUCUGCACAAAUAUCUACCGGGUUUCACCCGAAUCCCCUCGCUGGCCGACGGCAGCAAUAUGAACAGUUGUCUGGUUGAUGAGCAGGGGGCGCUUCUAGGACAGCUGGUGAUGCCGCUCAGUCAGCACCCAGUUUGUCCUGCCGGUCUGCUGGAGCCCAGGACCGCUACCACUUUGUCCUGGCUGAGCGGCGAAUCACUUCGUGAAGUCGACAUUCACCUCAGCCACCAACCCGAGGCCACACACAAGUGUUCUUCUGGAAACCACUCCUUGUCCAGUCAGGACAUGAAACCUGGCGCAGGGACGGACUGGUUGCGGAGCAGAACAUGGUGGAGCAGCUUCUUUGGAGGCGACAUGACCCAUGCAGUAUUGUUAUCCCAUUUGUCCCGGGCUGAAUUGGGGACAGCCCACGUUAGUCCACAGCGAACCACACUGGACACAAAAGAAUCACAUGGCAUGUUGUUGCUAGACGAAAACGCUGGAGUCCACACAGAGGACACUGCUAACAAUGACCGAGUCCAGAACAGAGGCUGGUCUGCAGUAGACCACCAGGUCAGCAUCGGUGCUGCUUGCUGUGUGGCGGGCCUGCUAGCUCGGGAUCAGGACAAUGGUUAUUCCAGCUUGGAGGAGGAGCACGCACAUGUGUUGUUGACCACGCACGCACCAGCAGGACCCUCUGACACGACGGAGGAGGCGGAGUCUGAAGAAAACGUGACACAGGGUGAGAAAGAAGGAAGUGAGCCUGCAGUGACACCCCACCAUUGCCAAAACAAGAGCAUCGCCUUCAUCAUGGGCUGCCCAUGCAGUGACGACGACGUCAGCAGCCAAUCAGAUGAUGACGACGACGACGGCUUUGACAGUGAGGGCUCGUCUGGUCUCUCGGACUCCACCGAUGAGGACGACGAAGCCUCAGACUCGGACGGUCCACUCGAUCCGGAGGCGGAGCGUCUCUUGACUUCCUUGUGUCGGAGUCGCGACCCCUACAACCUCCGAAACUUCACUGCCCCCCUGCACACGGGCCGCACGCCACCACACUCCCUUCCCGCCACCUCGCCUCCUUCCUCCACUCAGUCCACCCCGGCCUCCUCCCCCAACCUCACCCCUGCUGCCGCUCUCUCUCUUGCAUCCUCCCCGCCAUCGGGACACGACACUUGGGACGACUCGACAUCGGCCAGUGAGGUGGACGAGGCAGAAAGCCUCCGCCUGCUCAGCUCCUUUGCCUCAUCAGACCCCUACAGCCUCUUCAACUUCCAGGCCCCCAUUGGGACCGCAGGUUCUGCUCAGGGCAGGACAGCCUCAAAGGCGCCCACUCGGCUCCCACGUCGUAAGGCGCAGUCGCCACCUGCGUCCAGGAAGGAGGAGAACGUGGAGAAACUGGACAGCAGUUUGUCAGAACUGUCCACCUCCUCUGGUCUGACCCUCAGAACUGCCAAAAAGGUGCGGUUCUCUGACCGCGUGGAGGAGUUCUUUGCCAGCUGUGGCGAGGAGGAAGAGGACCGCAAGGGUCCGUGGGAGGAGCUGGCCCGGGACCGCUGUCGUUUCCUGCGGCGAUGCCAGGAGGUGGAGCUUAGCAUCGCCUACUGCCUGCAGCCUCGGCACCGCCGCUUGGCGUACCGCCGCCUCGCCACCCAGGAUGCGUGAGGACGCACGCGGCUCACAAGCUUGUUUGCCAACUUCCAUUGCGCCUCAACGACCUUUUGAACUGUGCAUGUGGCAGCACGUUAGCACCUUGGCUGGCCCCCCCUCUUCCCCACCGCUGAGGACCCACCUGAUGAUCAUUUCUCAUUCACUUCAACUUUGACCUUUUUUCUCUUUGUUUCUCGAACCCCAAAGUGGAUGUCCAGCGUGGGGGUGGGGGGAAGGGGGUUGGGCCUGCUCGGUCAUAUGACUCAAAGGUCAUUUAUAGUAUUGAAAUAGUAUUAAAACAUAAGAUGUUUCUAUUUUACAUACAGUGUAUAUGUCUACAUAUAUACUGUGGGUAUGUAUAUGUAAACAUAUUUUUAAAGUGAUUCAGCUUGAAAGUGUGGCUGUCAGCUGCUAACCUUUGACCCUGUGUACCAUUUGGUUUGCGUGUCAGACAGAAAGCGAAGUAGACAGGAAGUAAGACUUCAAGUGACUUUCAAAGGACAAGGACUCCAAUGUUAAUCCAAAAUGCUUUUAUUUUUCAUGAAACCCUCAACCGUGACGUCGCUCCUUCUCAGUAUGUCAGCCAAUAGAAGUUCAGCAGCAGGUGAUCCAGGUAAAACUACUUACUGUAUGUAAUGUUCUUCUACCAACUCCCACACGUUUGUUUGAUUUAUUUAGUCAACACUAGGCAGGUCAAAGUCUCUUGUUGGGAUCCUGUGGACUCGUUUUCUAGCACCACCAGCAGGUCUCGCAGGUACUUGAUGUAGCUGAUGGCAGCUCGCAGCGUCUCCACUUUGGUGAGCCUCCUGGUGGCGCUGUAGGCUGGCAGGUGUUGCCUCAGCCUGGCGUAGCCCGCAUUCACGCACUUCACCCUGCUCCGCUCUCGCUCGUUGCGCCUCUGGACAAAGGCGGGAUCCGUGGGACAGCCCAGGACCUCCAGAGGACACCUGAGGACUCCAAGGUGCUGGUGGGGGCUGCUCAAGAAGGGCAAGAGUACACGGGGUGGGUCCUUCAGGGGUCCUUUGGCGAAGUCCAUGCUUGCUGGGUGAUGGAUA
This is an RNA transcript of Dunckerocampus dactyliophorus (ringed pipefish), 3566 nucleotides long. It is a transcript of the gene named protein phosphatase 1 regulatory subunit 15B, with no coding region annotated. NCBI's taxonomy places the organism in Eukaryota, Metazoa, Chordata, Actinopteri, Syngnathiformes, Syngnathidae. The record is from RefSeq and is a predicted model, not a curated record. The transcript is spliced from 3 exons.